Molecule: long non-coding RNA, 732 nt
Filed under: Pan troglodytes (chimpanzee)
Lineage: Eukaryota; Metazoa; Chordata; Mammalia; Primates; Hominidae
Description: long non-coding RNA NONPTRT014347
Source: RNAcentral
AAAAGACUUUCAAAAUCUAAUUUGCUCACAUACAUGAACACCUGCCAGGAAGGAAUUUGAGGCCUUUGGUCUAAACAUGGAAAAGCUGAGUUCAUUUGCCCCAGAGGGGGCACCUGCAGGGAAAAGGAAAAAUGGUUUUAACCCUUUCCUUGAGUCAGAAAAUGAGGCCACCAGAUUCUCCUUUCAUCCUUCAAGUAUCAGAAAGGUCUGUGCUGUGAAUUCCACAGAUGAGAUUCAUUGCAAGAUGUGAGGGCAGAGGAAAUCCAUGGAAAUGAAAUCCACAUUCAAACUGGAUGCAUGCGUUCAGCAACUGGAAGCUGAGUUCAUAUUUCAUUGCCCAACUACCCUGACCACUUGGGAAUCGCAGGUUUGGAAGGACCCACAGCCAUUCUGUGGAAAUGGAUCUGCUUUCAGGACCGAAUCUCAGACUUCUUGGGGAAGGCUUCAGUGGCUGCCUUUGCUGUACAGACCUGGAGAUGGGUCUGAUGAUCGGACACCUGAAUUAUCUGUGUGGCUGAGUUUCAAGAAGACCUGCUGGGGUGAAAUGAAAAUGGUGCCUACUGGAAGCCCCAGUGGCUUUGCUGGUGGAGGUGAGCAUAGAUCCUAGAACUAUAUCCUGAUGUUUGGGCUCCCAUGUAUAUGUGAAAUUCAUUCUUUUUUUUAUAGGGUGGCAAACAUUGAGCUCUAUCUACCCCAUAGUAAUAAAGGAUGGCUUUAAGGAACAGAAACCCA